This 441-nucleotide ribosomal RNA is filed under the name Triticum aestivum (bread wheat). RNAcentral describes it as "partial small subunit ribosomal RNA". Lineage: Eukaryota; Viridiplantae; Streptophyta; Magnoliopsida; Poales; Poaceae. The record is from RNAcentral.
AUGCAUUUGACUACCUAUAGUAACUCAAUAGUCACAGUCGACGCGGAGGGGAAAGCUUGGAGGGAGAUUGAAAUGCCAGAUGACUUGCCAACCCUGUUUACACAUUAUUCCAUUGGCCAGUCUCAGGGGCUCUUGUAUGCUUGGAGGAUUGAGAAUAAUAUUGAUGAUUACCAGCUCUAUAUUUGGGUUCUUGAGGAUUACAUUAAUGGAAAGUGGGCACUAAAGCAUACACUGAGCGUUUUGAAAUUGUUUACAAGGCAUCGCAAAGGAUACUCCUAUUCCUUUACCAUGUUUGCAAUCCAUCCAGAUUGUAAUGUGAUUUUCGUUACCAACAAGCAGAAGUUAAUAAUGUCGUACAAUAUGGAUACUCAGAAAGUGCGCGUUUUCUCCACUUCUACACAAUCCACGUUUGGUCUACCUUACAUUCCCUGUUUUACGGAA